UACGUAUGGUGCAAGCGUUAUCCGGAUUUACUGGGUGUAAAGGGAGCGUAGACGGCAUGGCAAGCCAGAUGUGAAAUACCGGGGCUCAACCCCGGGACUGCAUUUGGAACUGUUAAGCUGGAGUGUCGGAGAGGCAGGCGGAAUUCCUAGUGUAGCGGUGAAAUGCGUAGAUAUUAGGAGGAACACCAGUGGCGAAGGCGGCCUGCUGGACGAUAACUGACGUUGAGGCUCGAAAGCGUGGGGAGCAAACAGG
Molecule: ribosomal RNA, 253 nt
Filed under: uncultured bacterium
Lineage: Bacteria
Description: partial 16S ribosomal RNA
Rfam family: Bacterial small subunit ribosomal RNA
Source: RNAcentral